Molecule: ribosomal RNA, 250 nt
Filed under: uncultured bacterium
Lineage: Bacteria
Description: partial 16S ribosomal RNA
Rfam family: Bacterial small subunit ribosomal RNA
Source: RNAcentral
UACGAAGGGAGUGAGCGUUAUUCAUAUUGAUUGGGCGUAAAGGGCUCGUAGAUGGAUAACUUAAUCUUUGGUGAAAUCUCAAAUUUUUUUGAAAGUGCCUUAGAUAUUGGUUGACUAGAGUGAAUUAAAGGAUAAUAGAAUUUUGUAAGAAGGAGUAAAAUCUGUUGAUAUACAAAGGAAUGCCAGUGGCGAAAGCGAUUAUCUAGAAUAUCACUGACAUUGAGGAGCGAAGGCGUAGGGAGCAAACAGG